UAGUGGCGAACGGGUGAGUAACACGUGAGUAACCUGCCCUUGACUCUGGGAUAAGCCUGGGAAACUGGGUCUAAUACCGGAUAUGACUGUCUGACGCAUGUCAGGUGGUGGAAAGCUUUUGUGGUUUUGGAUGGACUCGCGGCCUAUCAGCUUGUUGGUGGGGUAAUGGCCUACCAAGGCGACGACGGGUAGCCGGCCUGAGAGGGUGACCGGCCACACUGGGACUGAGACACGGCCCAGACUCCUACGGGAGGCAGCAGUGGGGAAUAUUGCACAAUGGGCGCAAGCCUGAUGCAGCGACGCCGCGUGAGGGAUGACGGCCUUCGGGUUGUAAACCUCUUUCAGUAGGGAAGAAGCGAAAGUGACGGUACCUGCAGAAGAAGCGCCGGCUAACUACGUGCCAGCAGCCGCGGUAAUACGUAGGGCGCAAGCGUUAUCCGGAAUUAUUGGGCGUAAAGAGCUCGUAGGCGGUUUGUCGCGUCUGCUGUGAAAGACCGGGGCUCAACUCCGGUUCUGCAGUGGGUACGGGCAGACUAGAGUGAUGUAGGGGAGACUGGAAUUCCUGGUGUAGCGGUGAAAUGCGCAGAUAUCAGGAGGAACACCGAUGGCGAAGGCAGGUCUCUGGGCAUUAACUGACGCUGAGGAGCGAAAGCAUGGGGAGCGAACAGGAUUAGAUACCCUGGUAGUCCAUGCCGUAAACGUUGGGCACUAGGUGUGGGGGACAUUCCACGUUUUCCGCGCCGUAGCUAACGCAUUAAGUGCCCCGCCUGGGGAGUACGGCCGCAAGGCUAAAACUCAAAGGAAUUGACGGGGGCCCGCACAAGCGGCGGAGCAUGCGGAUUAAUUCGAUGCAACGCGAAGAACCUUACCAAGGCUUGACAUGAACCGGUAAUACCUGGAAACAGGUGCCCCGCUUGCGGUCGGUUUACAGGUGGUGCAUGGUUGUCGUCAGCUCGUGUCGUGAGAUGUUGGGUUAAGUCCCGCAACGAGCGCAACCCUCGUUCUAUGUUGCCAGCGCGUUAUGGCGGGGACUCAUAGGAGACUGCCGGGGUCAACUCGGAGGAAGGUGGGGACGACGUCAAAUCAUCAUGCCCCUUAUGUCUUGGGCUUCACGCAUGCUACAAUGGCCGGUACAAAGGGUUGCGAUACUGUGAGGUGGAGCUAAUCCCAAAAAGCCGGUCUCAGUUCGGAUUGGGGUCUGCAACUCGACCCCAUGAAGUCGGAGUCGCUAGUAAUCGCAGAUCAGCAACGCUGCGGUGAAUACGUUCCCGGGCCUUGUACACACCGCCCGUCAAGUCACGAAAGUUGGUAACAC
Molecule: ribosomal RNA, 1315 nt
Filed under: Paenarthrobacter sp.
Lineage: Bacteria; Bacillati; Actinomycetota; Actinomycetes; Micrococcales; Micrococcaceae
Description: bacterial SSU rRNA
Rfam family: Bacterial small subunit ribosomal RNA
Source: RNAcentral